GUGCUCACAGCACAAAUACUAAAACUGGACUGAUACAGAGAAGAUUAGCAUAGCCCCUUCACAAGGAUGACACACAAAUUCAUGAAGUGAUUCAUAUUUUU
Cavia porcellus (domestic guinea pig) is the source of this 101-nucleotide small nuclear RNA. The record is from Ensembl. Lineage: Eukaryota; Metazoa; Chordata; Mammalia; Rodentia; Caviidae.